Molecule: ribosomal RNA, 253 nt
Filed under: uncultured bacterium
Lineage: Bacteria
Description: partial 16S ribosomal RNA
Rfam family: Bacterial small subunit ribosomal RNA
Source: RNAcentral
UACGAAGGGGGCUAGCGUUGUUCGGAAUUACUGGGCGUAAAGCGCGCGCAGGCGGCUGUCCAAGUCAGUGGUGAAAGCCCGGAGCUCAACUCCGGAACUGCCAUUGAAACUGUUUAGCUGGAGUAUGAGAGAGGUGAGUGGAAUUCCCAGUGUAGAGGUGAAAUUCGUAGAUAUUCGCAAGAACACCAGUGGCGAAGGCGGCUCACUGGCCCGAUACUGACGCUGAGGCACGAAAGCGUGGGGAGCAAACAGG